AACAGUUGCAUUGCUGAAGGCCUGCAGUUAAACAACAGUUAACAAAAUAGAAACUGUGAAUCACCAGUAUCCUAUAAAGGUUAGAAAGCAGUGUUUAUGCUAAUCAUUCUGGAUAACCAAAAAUAAAGAAAUACAUAAACAACAUUCAAUUAAGGGGGGGGGAAAAAGAAGAUAUUUGAUCGAAAAAAACCAAGAAAAAGAAAAAUCGGAAUAUCAGAAAAUAUAACUUUAAUACAAUGAUUAUAAAUAAAGUAACUAGCCCAUAAUAAUAGUUUGCAAAACCUAGGUAUUGCAUUCAUCUCCAAACAGCAAUACAAGCAGUCUUCCCAACAUAGCAAUCAUGAAGACACAAACUCCACAUUAUUUGCACAAGAGACAUGAAAUGGCACCAGAAUAUUUAGCCUGUGACAUUGACAGCCUCAAUUGAACCAUGAAAUCUCUUGAAGAUCAUUUUAUAUUUGUUAAACAAGCCAAAUUGAGCCCAAUAAUAUUGAGUUCAAAUGGAGCAGAAAUCUUUCUUAACUGCAUUAAAAUCGCUAGCUGGAUGAUCGCUGACGCAAGCCAACGACAUCCAAAUUGAAUUUUCUUCCUACCAAAAAUGAAAUAGAACAUACGUAAUACACAUUCUGCUGUAUGACGCAUUUAAACUUCAAUAUUUGCAGUAUGUACCUACGACAGAACAAUGACAUGCAUGUAGUUGUAGAGACAACUGGUAAAUAAAUCACUCUUUUCAUAAUGCAUCAUAUUCUCAUUUAUGGACCACAAUUGAACAUUUUCAAAUUGCCAAAAGAUGAAAAACAAAUUAAUAUGAUAUUGUAUGCAGAUCCAAGGAAACAAAUGAGGAUAAUUCAGUGCAUACAACUGAAAUUAUAAAUCAGGGUAUGAUCAACUCAACCAUGUCUCAGUCCCAAACUACAGAGAGUCCAUGAAACAAACCCUUUUUAUUUACCGAGGAACAUUUUCAAGAGCCAUUCUACAGACAUUCAACACCUACAAUUACAACCAACAGCAUGAUAGAUGUUUCUCUGGCUCCUUGUGCAUGUAGCGACCACACAAAAAGUAAAGUAUGGAGAAAGCAAAUAGGUGCAAAUUUGAUGUAGAAGCACUUGCACAACAAACAGUGUUAUCAAGGCAAGAGGCGGCACCAAGGCAAUAGAGUACCCUAUGGCCUUAGAUUAGAGGCGAGGCGAGAGUCUUUUUGAAGGGAGGCGCCAUAGCUUAAAUUGCCUAAAUUAUAUAUAUACGUAUAUACUUUUAACAAAAAUAUGUCAUACUUUUGACUAGUUUAAUAAAUAAAAAAACAUAUUACACAAGACUU
This 1318-nucleotide unclassified non-coding RNA is filed under the name Hevea brasiliensis (rubber tree). The record is from RNAcentral. Lineage: Eukaryota; Viridiplantae; Streptophyta; Magnoliopsida; Malpighiales; Euphorbiaceae.